Molecule: long non-coding RNA, 3959 nt
Filed under: Anas zonorhyncha (Eastern spot-billed duck)
Lineage: Eukaryota; Metazoa; Chordata; Aves; Anseriformes; Anatidae
Description: lncRNA (ENSAZOG00000002921.1)
Source: RNAcentral
AUGCGCGUCCUUUCAUGUCAGUCCCCUGUGCUAUUAUGCUCUUCUGAGCACAGCAUUAAACAUUUUAUUGAGUGUAAAUCUCGUUGCAUCAAAAUCACUGCAGUGGUCAAUGAAAUUUAUAAUCUCAUUAAAAGUAUUGGAUUAGUUGGUCAAGAGCUAUUUAUUUUCCAUAUGUGGCGUUGCUUUCCUUUGUACCUCCUUAACCCAAUCCUAAAUCCCAGCCGUUCUGCUAACUUCCCUCAGACCGACAUUUGGCUGAGAUGCCUGAUGUGGCCGGAUCACUUCCACCCAUCUAAAAACAGUGGCUCAGGGUUUGCUGUUCUGUUCAGGGGAAAUCAAAGCAGCACCUGCCAGCUGGGCCGGUAUUCAUUGUACGAGCAAGGAGCCUUCCCUCCUUCCCUCCCUCAUGACCCUCGUCCCUUUAUUUCCUGUACAAACAGAGUCCGCAGGGAGCAGUCGAGGAGUACCUGAGCACGCUGCAAGAAGCGCUGGUGCCAAAGCCUCCCGCUAACGGUGUGCCCAACGUGUGAAAACGGGAGGGAUGCUCAACGAACCCGAUGAGAGGAGAACUAAAAAGAAAAAAAGAAAUAAAACCUAAGUGCAACCCAUUUGCAGUUUGUCUGGAAAACGCUGGAUGUAAAAAUAACCCCCAAAAAUUAAUGAAAUCCAAUUAUAGUCAAGUUGACUCCCAUGAUAGGAGUUUAUUUAAUAAGAAGUACUGCUCGCGCCCCCUUUCUCCCUCCUUUUUCUCCUCCCUCAGUAUCUUUGUGCCUAUUUGACUAGCAGAAAGCAGGCAAAUUGGGUUCGGGAGCAUUCAUCUAUGAUACUUUGAGAAAAUUAAAUGUUGAUUAACUCCUGUGUUCACGGCUUCCUCUAGUGCGAGGAGGCGAUAAGGUUAUCGUACCAAAUGCGCCUGAGCCGAGCGUGUAACGCCGGAGGAACAGCACCUUCUUGUUACCAAAACAGACUCCGAAGAGUUUGUGAACUCAUUUGACCAUCAAGAGAUGGAAAAUUUUCAACCAAAUGGUGGCAGUGGUUUCCCCCCAGCUCACACCCCGCCAGCAGGAAUGAUCAAGUUUUGGCAGCGUCAGUGCUGUUUGUCGUGUAUUUAAGGACUUCCAGCCUUCUCCUCCUUAUGCAAGAUCUUUUCAAUGAAGAAUUCUGGUUUGACAAUGUGGAAAAGCACUAAAGAGCCAAAAAAAAGUCCCUUUUUUUCCUCAUCAGGCGGUGGAAAGCUUGCAUCUCUGAAAGGAUUUCUGGUCUUUAUAGCAGUGGGCUCCUGGGCUAUUGCACUUCCUCCUGCCACGACGGUUUGUUCUUUUAACAGAAAAGGUUUAGUAUGUUACCGGUGGGCUGGAAAAUCAAUGGCACGAGAUCAAUGAUCAUUCUGCUGCCGGGUAAUACUUACCCGUGUGAGUGAGCGAGUGACCCGCUGCUGUCCUGCACAAAUAACCCGUGGCAGGCAAACGCUGGAGUUUGGAAAGUUGCAUUUGGCUUUGUGCUUUUCGCCAUUCGCUGACCGGUGGAAAUGGGCUCACCCCAACGUGGAGUGAGAGCAGCAGCCUGCAACACUGGGGCUCCUCGCCUUAUUGAUGGAGAAAAGAGUUUUUAGCAUGCAUGCCCCUGUCUCUGCUCAGGACUGCGCCCGAAACACUUGUUAAUGCUGCAAAGAGGGGAAAAAAAAAAAAAGCAUCUCUCACAAAGUAUAAAAUGCAAGAUUUACCGUGUUAGGCAGCAGCUCCUGAUAAAUUGACUGGCAAAAUAUUUUCCGAGUUUGUGGAGAUUUGACAAAAUUAGCCAUUCCCUAAAGCCAGUUGUGAGCGCAGAGCAUUUCUGCUUUCACACACGGUUUUGGGAGGCAAAACAGAGCAAUUCCUGUACAGGCAGCUGGGUUAUGAAAACUGACAGAGCAUUGCUUGUGUGGAGAGGGUUUAAAUGAUGCACGAGGGACUGGUUAGCGUGUGAUAUGCAAAUGCAAAUCUAUCCUUGAGGCACCGCGGCUACAAAACGGCUCACAAUAAUGCUCAUUUAUCGGAAAGCCGUUUCGUACUGCGGAUUCCUCCCUCCCAGAGCAGCAGGGCUCCUUUCCCGGAGUGCCUUGGUCCAUGGCGUGGGCUUUGCUUGCCUUUGCUGAAAAAAAAUGGUUAUAGGUCACUGCGUACCCCUGAGGAUCUCAGCAACGAUUUCGGUGUAGUUACAGCAAUGGACGUGUUCAUGGCCAGCCUGUCCUGUCUGAAGUUACCAGCCAGUGUGUGAAUUCGGGAUGUUUGCCGUGCCUGCCGCUGGUUGCAGGGGGAUAUUGCAAUGGAAACAACCACGGCUGGCAAGGCAAUGUCAAGAUUUCCACCGUGGAGUAAGUGGAAUCCAGCAAACUUUUCCUGCACUUUACAUAAGUCUUUUUCCUUUUUUUUUUUUUCAGCUUUAGUAGAAGCGCCUCGGAAAUGGCUUGCGUUAUUCCGUGUAAAUUACUGGAGUGCAGCUGCGGGGAGUGCUAAGACUCUCGUUUUCAAGUUCCUGGACAGAUUUUAAGUGACAACAGAACUCAAUUCACAUCCGAAGGGCUCCCGUUGCUCGCUGCAAGAAACGAUAUCAGACGUGGCACGUUGUCUGCCUGCUACCUGGCUGAAGCACUUCAGUGGCUGAGUGGGAAGAUUCAUUCUGACAUUCAGGCAAGCCAUCGGUGCUGUGACCCCAGCUCAGGGCGGCUUACAACACAAGAUUGCCCCUCUUCUAUUAGGCUACGGGGCGCCAUCCAAACUGUCUCGAGUCACACCAGCAAUAUUGUUUCCUAAGCACAAUGGAAAGUUUUGUUCAGGCUUGUUAUUCGGAAGAAAACCAACUCCAUUAAACACAGAUGAGCGUGUUGACGUAAAGUGACGCGGCAGCGAAAGUUUUUAGUUUUAUUAUUUUUAAGAGAGAACUUUCCAAGCUCUUUCUUCUUUCUCAGGAAGACGAGGGAGCAGCUGAAUGCAGCAGGUCAGGAAUGGCGUUUCCUAACUGCUUUCGGGGUGAAAUUGUAAUGAGUGAUGUUUAAAGACUCCAGGAUAUUUUCACAGAACCACAUAAUAGGUGAGGUCGGAUGAGACCUCCAGGGACUGUCUAGCCCGAUCCCUUUUGAGGCCUGCAUUUGUCACUUUUUAAUUGCAUAUUAAAAAUGAAGAAAUGGCAGGAGCGGAACGUUAAAGAGUCCUGUUCCUCAUUAAAACGGGACAGCUAAUGCAUAUACGGUGUGCUCGCUGACAGCCAUUAACUAAUCAACAAAUCAUCAUCCGGGGUAGCACCAUCACUCUCACAGAUGAGCGGUGACUGCGCGGGGACAGCGGCAGCAGCUCGCCCAGCAGCACGAGCCCGUUGUGAAUAUCCAUCACGGCUCAAAGGGCUCCAAGCCAAGGGUCUUUGAGGAUCUGUAAUUGGUGCCAGCAGUGCGUUCAUUGCCAAUAAUACCUAAAGGAAAGGGUGUGCUUCUGGAGUGCCUCCUGUCCUAGGGGUACUCACGGCUGUGGGCGGCGGAUUCUGCUCCUGUGAGAUGUUGAACUUCGUGUCCCGUUUCACAGCUGGGGAUAAAGGCCUCAGGAGUUGCUAUAAGCAAUGCCCCCAAGGCCACCAGGCAAGCCGUGGCAAAACCCAGAGCUCCUCUCUGCUCGACCCUGCUCCUGCGAUACGGCACAAGGUCACCCUCUGCAACAAACCAAAACCUUCCCCUGCUUCUUCCCAAGGACACCAGGACUGAAGGACACAAAAAUGCAGAGCCCGGGGUAUUUUGAAGAUGGUUUCACUAAAAAUAUCUCCCUUCCCAGCCUUACAUUUAAAAUGCUGUAAUUUGCCAAAUGGGAAUCCAGGCUCAUUUCUUCAUAUCUGCGAUGCCGAGAUCAUUUCCAUGUCUGCCUUUCCCUAAAUAGGAACUCAAAACUUGCGGUGGCUCACAAAGACUGCCUGUUUCUGCUUUGCCCAGUCCCGAG